CGUGGCGGGGUGCUACAAUGCAGUCGAACGGUGAAGCAGAGCUUGCUCUGUGGAUCAGUGGCGAACGGGUGAGUAACACGUGAGCAACCUGCCCUUGACUCUGGGAUAAGCGCUGGAAACGGCGUCUAAUACCGGAUAUGAGCUGCGAUCGCAUGGUCAGCAGUUGGAAAGAUUUUUCGGUCUGGGAUGGGCUCACGGCCUAUCAGCUUGUUGGUGAGGUAAUGGCUCACCAAGGCGUCGACGGGUAGCCGGCCUGAGAGGGUGACCGGCCACACUGGGACUGAGACACGGCCCAGACUCCUACGGGAGGCAGCAGUGGGGAAUAUUGCACAAUGGGCGAAAGCCUGAUGCAGCAACGCCGCGUGAGGGAUGACGGCCUUCGGGUUGUAAACCUCUUUUAGCAGGGAAGAAGCGAAAGUGACGGUACCUGCAGAAAAAGCGCCGGCUAACUACGUGCCAGCAGCCGCGGUAAUACGUAGGGCGCAAGCGUUAUCCGGAAUUAUUGGGCGUAAAGAGCUCGUAGGCGGUUUGUCGCGUCUGCUGUGAAAUCCCGAGGCUCAACCUCGGGUCUGCAGUGGGUACGGGCAGACUAGAGUGCGGUAGGGGAGAUUGGAAUUCCUGGUGUAGCGGUGGAAUGCGCAGAUAUCAGGAGGAACACCGAUGGCGAAGGCAGAUCUCUGGGCCGUUACUGACGCUGAGGAGCGAAAGGGUGGGGAGCAAACAGGCUUAGAUACCCUGGUAGUCCACCCCGUAAACGUUGGGAACUAGUUGUGGGGUCCAUUCCACGGAUUCCGUGACGC
Molecule: ribosomal RNA, 800 nt
Filed under: Microbacterium sp. JSM 2215111
Lineage: Bacteria; Bacillati; Actinomycetota; Actinomycetes; Micrococcales; Microbacteriaceae
Description: bacterial SSU rRNA
Rfam family: Bacterial small subunit ribosomal RNA
Source: RNAcentral